AAAAAAGGUAAGCUACUAAGAGCGAAUGGUGGAUGCCUUGACUGGUAAAGGCGAUGAAGGACGUACUAGACUGCGAUAAGCUACGGGGAGCUGUCAAGAAGCUUUGAUCCGUAGAUUUCCGAAUGGGGCAACCCAAUGUAUAGAGAUAUACAUUACCUAUAUAGGAGCGAACGAGGGGAAUUGAAACAUCUUAGUACCCUCAGGAAAAGAAAUCAAUAGAGAUUGCGUCAGUAGCGGCGAGCGAAAGCGCAAGAGGGCAAACCCAGUGCUUGCACUGGGGGUUGUAGGACUGCAAUGUGCAAGAGGUGAGUUUAGCAGAACAUUCUGGAAAGUAUAGCCAUAGAGGGUGAUAGUCCCGUAUGCGAAAAACAAACCUUAGCUAGCAGUAUCCUGAGUAGGGCGGGACACGAGAAAUCCUGUCUGAAGCUGGGUCGACCACGAUCCAACCCUAAAUACUAAUACCAGAUCGAUAGUGCACAAGUACCGUGAGGGAAAGGUGAAAAGAACUGAGGUGAUCAGAGUGAAAUAGAACCUGAAACCAUUUGCUUACAAUCAUUCAGAGCCCUAUGUAGCAAUACAGGGUGAUGGACUGCCUUUUGCAUAAUGAGCCUGCGAGUUGUGGUGUCUGGCAAGGUUAAGCAAACGCGAAGCCGUAGCGAAAGCGAGUCUGAAUAGGGCGCUUAGUCAGAUGCUGCAGACCCGAAACGAAGUGAUCUAUCCAUGAGCAAGUUGAAGCUAGUGUAAGAACUAGUGGAGGACUGAACCCAUAGGCGUUGAAAAGCCCCGGGAUGACUUGUGGAUAGGGGUGAAAGGCCAAUCAAACUUCGUGAUAGCUGGUUCUCUCCGAAAUAUAUUUAGGUAUAGCGUUGUGUCGUAAUAUAAGGGGGUAGAGCACUGAAUGGGCUAGGGCAUACACCAAUGUACCAAACCCUAUCAAACUCCGAAUACCUUAUAUGUAAUCACAGCAGUCAGGCGGCGAGUGAUAAAAUCCGUCGUCAAGAGGGAAACAACCCAGACUACCAGCUAAGGUCCCUAAAUCUUACUUAAGUGGAAAACGAUGUGAAGUUACUUAAACAACCAGGAGGUUGGCUUAGAAGCAGCCAUCCUUUAAAGAAAGCGUAAUAGCUCACUGGUCUAGUGAUUUUGCGCGGAAAAUAUAACGGGGCUAAAGUAAGUACCGAAGCUGUAGACUUGCGCACAACUUAGAUUAUUUAAGUUUAGAAUAUGAGAAACUAAGUUAUAUGUUUAGUUAUAUUUUUACUGAUUUUUAUAGAGUAAAGAUAGAAAUAAAACUUAGUAAAAUCAGUAAAAAUAUUCUUAGACUAAAGUUAAGUAGUUUAAGUUGUGUGCAAGUGGUAGGAGAGCGUUCUAUUUGCGUCGAAGGUAUACCGGUAAGGAGUGCUGGAGCGAAUAGAAGUGAGCAUGCAGGCAUGAGUAGCGAUAAUUAAUGUGAGAAUCAUUAACGCCGUAAACCCAAGGUUUCCUACGCGAUGCUCGUCAUCGUAGGGUUAGUCGGGUCCUAAGUCGAGUCCGAAAGGGGUAGACGAUGGCAAAUUGGUUAAUAUUCCAAUACCAACAUUAGUGUGCGAUGGAAGGACGCUUAGGGCUAAGGGGGCUAGCGGAUGGAAGUGCUAGUCUAAGGUCGUAGGAGGUUAUACAGGCAAAUCCGUAUAACAAUACUCCGAGAACUGAAAGGCUUUUUGAAGUCUUCGGAUGGAUAGAAGAACCCCUGAUGCCGUCGAGCCAAGAAAAGUUUCUAAGUUUAGCUAAUGUUGCCCGUACCGUAAACCGACACAGGUGGGUGGGAUGAGUAUUCUAAGGCGCGUGGAAGAACUCUCUUUAAGGAACUCUGCAAAAUAGCACCGUAUCUUCGGUAUAAGGUGUGGUUCGCUUCGUAUUAGGAUUUACUCCGAAAGCGAAGAAACUUACAACAAAGAGUCCCUCCCGACUGUUUACCAAAAACACAGCACUCUGCUAACUCGUAAGAGGAUGUAUAGGGUGUGACGCCUGCCCGGUGCUCGAAGGUUAAUUGAUGGGGUUAGCAUUAGCGAAGCUCUUGAUCGAAGCCCGAGUAAACGGCGGCCGUAACUAUAACGGUCCUAAGGUAGCGAAAUUCCUUGUCGGUUAAAUACCGACCUGCAUGAAUGGCGUAACGAGAUGGGAGCUGUCUCAAAGAGGGAUCCAGUGAAAUUGUAGUGGAGGUGAAAAUUCCUCCUACCCGCGGCAAGACGGAAAGACCCCGUGGACCUUUACUACAGCUUGACACUGCUAUUUGGAUAAGAAUGUGCAG
RNAcentral lists this ribosomal RNA (2290 nucleotides) under Campylobacter coli. RNAcentral's name for it is "partial 23S ribosomal RNA". It matches the Rfam family "Bacterial large subunit ribosomal RNA", at positions 1 to 2141 of the family's 2925-position model. The record is from RNAcentral. Lineage: Bacteria; Pseudomonadati; Campylobacterota; Epsilonproteobacteria; Campylobacterales; Campylobacteraceae.